GCCAGGUGUGGUGGUGCAUGCCUGUAAUCCCAGCGACUCGGGAGGCUGAUACAGGAGGCUGUAAAGUUCAAAGCCAUCCUCAGCAACUUUGUGAGUUCCUAAGCAACUUAGUGAGAUUCUGUCUCAA
This 127-nucleotide small RNA is filed under the name Marmota monax (woodchuck). The record is from RNAcentral. Lineage: Eukaryota; Metazoa; Chordata; Mammalia; Rodentia; Sciuridae.